CAGCAGCCGCGGUAAUACGAAGGGACCUAGCGUAGUUCGGAAUUACUGGGCUUAAAGAGCACGUAGGUGGUUAAGAAAGUUGGUGGUGAAAUCCCGAGGCUUAACCUUGGAACUGCCACCAAAACUUUUUAACUAGAGUAUGAUUGAGGUAAGCGGAAUUUCUAGUGUAGAGGUGAAAUUCGUAGAUAUUAGAAAGAACACCAAUUGCGAAGGCAGCUUUCUGGAUCAUUACUGACACUGAGGUGCGAAAGCAUGGGUAGCGAAGAGGAUUAGAUACCCUCGUAGUCCAUGCCGUAAACGAUGUGUGCUAGACGUUGGGAAUUUAUUUUUCAGUGUCGCAGCAAAAGCGUUAAGCACACCGCCUGGGGAGUACGACCGCAAGGUUAAAACUCAAAUGAAUUGACGGGGACCCGCACAAGUAGUGGAGCAUGUGGUUUAAUUCGAAGAUACGCGCAGAACCUUACCAACACUUGACAUGUUCGUCGCGACUCUAAGAGAUUAGAGUUUUCGGUUCGGCCGGACGAAACACAGGUGCUGCAUGGCUGUCGUCAGCUCGUGUCGUGAGAUGUUGGGUUAAGUCCCGCAACGAGCGCAACCCUUACUUUUAGUUGCUACCAUUUAGUUGGGCACUCUAGAAGAACUGCCGGUGAUAAGCUGGAGGAAGGUGGGGAUGACGUCAAGUCCUCAUGGCCCUUAUGUGUUGGGCUACACACGUGCUACAAUGGUAUUUACAGUGGGAUGCAAAGAGGCAACUCCUAGCCAACCCUCAAAGAAUACCUCAGUUCGGAUUGUACUCUGCAACUCGAGUACAUGAAGCUGGAAUUACUAGUAAUCGCGGAUCAGCGCGCCGCGGUGAAUACGUUCCCGGGUCUUGUACACACCGCCCGUCACACCAUGGAAGUUGGUUACACCUUAAGGCAAAGUGUAAA
Molecule: ribosomal RNA, 929 nt
Filed under: uncultured prokaryote
Description: bacterial SSU rRNA
Rfam family: Bacterial small subunit ribosomal RNA
Source: RNAcentral